Molecule: ribosomal RNA, 375 nt
Filed under: uncultured bacterium
Lineage: Bacteria
Description: bacterial SSU rRNA
Rfam family: Bacterial small subunit ribosomal RNA
Source: RNAcentral
GACGAACGCUGGCGGCGUGCUUAACACAUGCAAGUCGAGCGGUAAGGCCCUUUCGGGGGUACACGAGCGGCGAACGGGUGAGUAACACGUGGGUGACCUGCCCUCAGCUCUGGGAUAAGCCUGGGAAACCGGGUCUAAUACCGGAUAUGACUCCAUGACGCAUGUUGUGGGGUGGAAAGCCUUGUGCGGCUGAGGAUGGGCCCGCGGCCUAUCAGCUUGUUGGUGGGGUGAUGGCCUACCAAGGCGACGACGGGUGGCCGGCCUGAGAGGGCGACCGGCCACACUGGGACUGAGACACGGCCCAGACUCCUACGGGAGGCAGCAGUGGGGAAUCUUGCGCAAUGGGCGAAAGCCUGACGCAGCGACGCCGCGUGA